RNAcentral lists this ribosomal RNA (484 nucleotides) under uncultured bacterium. Its description in RNAcentral is "partial 16S ribosomal RNA". It matches the Rfam family "Bacterial small subunit ribosomal RNA", at positions 30 to 507 of the family's 1533-position model. The record is from RNAcentral.
AUUGAACGCUGGCGGCAGGCCUAACACAUGCAAGUCGAGCGGAUGAAGGGAGCUUGCUCCCGGAUUCAGCGGCGGACGGGUGAGUAAUGCCUAGGAAUCUGCCUGGUAGUGGGGGAUAACGUCCGGAAACGGGCGCUAAUACCGCAUACGUCCUGAGGGAGAAAGUGGGGGAUCUUCGGCCCUCACGCUAUCAGAUGAGCCUAGGUCGGAUUAGCUAGUUGGUGGGGUAAAGGCCUACCAAGGCGACGAUCCGUAACUGGUCUGAGAGGAUGAUCAGUCACACUGGAACUGAGACACGGUCCAGACUCCUACGGGAGGCAGCAGUGGGGAAUAUUGGACAAUGGGCGAAAGCCUGAUCCAGCCAUGCCGCGUGUGUGAAGAAGGUCUUCGGAUUGUAAAGCACUUUAAGUUGGGAGGAAGGGCAGUAAGUUAAUACCUUGCUGUUUUGACGUUACCAACAGAAUAAGCACCGGCUAACUUCGUG